CCUACGGGGGGCAGCAGUGAGGAAUCUUGGUCAAUGGGCGCGAGCCUGAACCAGCCAAGUCGCGUGAGGGAAGACGGCCCUACGGGUUGUAAACCUCUUUUGCCGGGGAGCAACGGGCGCCACGUGUGGCGCCACUGAGAGUACCCGGAGAAAAAGCAUCGGCUAACUCCGUGCCAGCAGCCGCGGUAAUACGGAGGAUGCGAGCGUCAUCCGGUUUGAUUGGGUUAAAGGGGUGCGUAGGCGGAGCGUAAAGUCAGUGGGAAAAUUGAGGGCCUAAACCCCUUCCCGCCAUUGAAACUGGCGCUCUUGAGUGGAAGAGAGGUAUGCGGAAUGCGUGGUGUAGCGGUGAAAUGCAUAGAUAUCACGCAGAACCCCGAUUGCGAAGGCAGCAUGCCGGCUUCCGACUGACGCUGAAGCACGAAAGCGUGGGGAUCGAACAGGAUUAGAUACCCUGGUAGUC
RNAcentral lists this ribosomal RNA (460 nucleotides) under uncultured bacterium. RNAcentral's name for it is "partial 16S ribosomal RNA". It matches the Rfam family "Bacterial small subunit ribosomal RNA", at positions 338 to 795 of the family's 1533-position model. The record is from RNAcentral.